AUGGAUUCUCUCUUGCAUUGGGAUUUUCCACCAGGCCUUACAUUGGCCGAUCAGGUGAGAAGAAGGUUUGGAUCCACUGUUCACUUCUCUCCAUCCAGAGACACCAAGAAAUUCUUUUUGGUUGUUUCGUUCUCCUCAGCUUCCUUCCCUCUCUCGGAAUCAGUGGGUAUUGCGUUGCAAUGUUGCAUUGGA
Molecule: ribosomal RNA, 192 nt
Filed under: Triticum aestivum (bread wheat)
Lineage: Eukaryota; Viridiplantae; Streptophyta; Magnoliopsida; Poales; Poaceae
Description: partial small subunit ribosomal RNA
Source: RNAcentral